UGCAUAUCAAAAAGCGGAGGAAAAGAAACCAACAGGGAUUGCCUUAGUAGCGGCGAGUGAAGCGGCAAAAGCUCAAAUUUGAAAUCUGGCUCUUUCAGAGUCCGAGUUGUAAUUUGAAGAAGGUAUCUUUGGGUCUGGCUCUUGUCUAUGUUUCUUGGAACAGAACGUCACAGAGGGUGAGAAUCCCGUGCGAUGAGAUGAUCCAGGCCUAUGUAAAGUUCCUUCGAAGAGUCGAGUUGUUUGGGAAUGCAGCUCUAAGUGGGUGGUAAAUUCCAUCUAAAGCUAAAUAUUGGCGAGAGACCGAUAGCGAACAAGUACAGUGAUGGAAAGAUGAAAAGAACUUUGAAAAGAGAGUGAAAAAGUACGUGAAAUUGUUGAAAGGGAAGGGCUUGAGAUCAGACUUGGUAUUUUGUAUGUUACUUCUUCGGGGGUGGCCUCUACAGUUUAUCGGGCCAGCAUCAGUUUGGGCGGUAGGAGAAUUGCGUUGGAAUGUGGCACGGCUUCGGUUGUGUGUUAUAGCCUUCGUCGAUACUGCCAGCCUAGACUGAGGACUGCGGUUUAUACCUAGGAUGUUGGCAUAAUGAUCUUAAGUCGCCCGUCUUGAACCC
This 608-nucleotide ribosomal RNA is filed under the name Candida tropicalis. RNAcentral describes it as "eukaryotic LSU rRNA". It matches the Rfam family "Eukaryotic large subunit ribosomal RNA", at positions 37 to 661 of the family's 3401-position model. The record is from RNAcentral. Lineage: Eukaryota; Fungi; Ascomycota; Pichiomycetes; Serinales; Debaryomycetaceae.